ACCAAUCGAACACCAUGGAGCCCCCGACGUCACAGACAGAACCAAUCGAAUACCAUGGAGUUGCUGAAGUAACAGACAGAACCAAUCGAACACCAUGGAGCUGCUGACGUAACAGACAGAACCAAUCGAACACCAUGGAACUGCUGACGUCACAGACAGAACCAAUCGAACACCAUGGAGCACCUGACGUCACAGACAGAACCAAUCGAACACCAUGGCGCUCCUGACGUCACAGACAGAACCAAUCGAACACCAUGGAGCCCCUGACGUCACAGACAGAACCAAUCGAACGCCGGAGACACCGUAAGGAUCUGACCUGUAACGACGACCCAGGGGCUCGAUGAUGCUGCAGCUCCCCUUGGUGGUGACGGCUCAGGUGGACGUGGUGCUGGUCCUGGUCUCCCUGUGGUCCCUCUGGUCCAGACUCAGUCACCUGAACUACCCCAGCGCUGUGGUGUUUGAUGAGGUGUAUUAUGGUCAGUUUGUGUCUCUCUACAUGAAGAGAGUUUUCUUCAUCGAUGACAGCGGACCGCCACUCGGUCACAUGAUCCUGGCCCUCGGAGCGUACCUCGGAGGAUUUGAUGGAAACUUCGUGUGGAACAGAAUUGGAGCAGAGUAUCCCAGCAGUGUGAGUGUGUGGAGUCUGCGGUUGCUGCCCGCUCUGUGUGGAGCGCUCUGUGUUCCUCUGGUUUACCUGCUGACGCUGGAGCUGAAGUUCUCUCACCUGUCGGCUCUGGGAGCUGCUCUGCUGCUGCUGCUGGAGAACUCGCUUAUUGUCCAAUCACGUUUCAUGUUACUGGAGUCUGUUCUCAUCUUCUUCCUGUUGUUGGCUUUCUUCUCCUACCUGCGUUUCCACAACUCUCCCAGUAGCUCCUGGUCCAGGUUCAGUUGGCUUCUCGUCUCUGGAGCUUCCUGCUCUGCAGCUGUCGGGGUGAAGUACAUGGGUGUGUUCUCAUACUUGCUGCUGCUGGGCGUGGCCUCUCUUCACACCUGGAAGCUGAUUGGAGACCGAACUGUCAAUCAUCUCAGUGUGUGUGUGCAGUGUGUUUGUAGGUUUGUGUGUCUGCUCGUGGUUCCUGUCCUGCUCUACGUGUUUUGGUUCUAUGUUCACCUGAGUCUCCUGAACCGCAGUGGACCACAUGACCAACAGAUGAGCUCUGCCUUCCAGGCCAGUCUGCAGGGCGGCCUCUCCACGAUCACUCAGGGUCAACCUCUUGAAGUUGCUUAUGGCAGUCAGGUCACUUUAAGAAGCUCCGCCUCUCAGCCAAUCCCCUGCUGGCUCCACUCACACAAGGCCAACUACCCAAUUAGGUAUGAAAAUGGGCGGGGCAGCUCCCACCAGCAGCAGGUCACCUGCUAUCCCUUCAAAGACGUUAACAACUGGUGGGUAGUCAAAGAUCCAAGCAGACAGGAGAUGGUGGUCGGCAGUCCUCCUCGACCUGUCCGCCAUGGUGAUGUCAUCCAGCUGGUUCACGGGAUGUCCUCACGCUUCCUCAACAGUCACGACGUCGCAGCUCCCAUGAGUCCUCAUGCUCAGGAAGUGUCCGGUUACAUCGACUUCAAUGCUUCCAUGGCAACUCAGAACCUGUGGAGAGUGGAUAUCUCUAACAGGGAGGCGGAGUCAGAGGUAUGGAAGACAAUCCUGUCUGAGGUUCGAUUGGUCCACGUCAACACCUCCGCUGUGCUCAAGAUGAGCGGUGUGUCCCUUCCAGACUGGGGUUUCGGUCAGCUGGAGGUCGUAGCAGAGAAACUAUAUAAAGUUCACGGCGGCAGUUUGGGGUGGACGGUGGAAGAACAUCGAUACGGAACCAGUCAGGAGCAGAAGGAGAGGGAGGCGGAGCUUCAUUCUCCGACUCACAUCGAUGUCGACAGAAAAAUUUCCUUUUGGGCGAAAUUUUUAGAGCUACAGUGGAAGAUGCUGACAGUGAAACAGGAGGACUCUGAACACAAAUACAGCUCCGGCCCCUUAGAGUGGAUCACCAUGGACACCAACAUCGCAUACUGGCUGCACUCUUCGACCAACGCUCAGAUCCAUUUGAUUGGUAAUCCAGUGUCAUGGGGCGUGGCCAACCUCAGCCUGCUGGCCUAUCAGCUGCUGGCAGCCGUCUACCUGCUGAGGAGGAGGCGAGGCUUCAAAGACCUACCUGAAUCUGUGUGGGAUCAGUUUGUGUGUCUGGGGUGUGUGUGUGUCGGCGGCUGGUUGGUGAACUUCAUUCCUUUCCUGCUGAUGGAGAAAACUCUCUUCCUGUAUCACUACCUGCCCGCCCUCUGCUACCUGUACCUGCUGUGCCCCGCCCUGCUGGAGCACACACACACAAACCUGCUCAGCGAUGUGACACACCGCCGGGCGCUGUGUUUAUUUGCUUCAACCGUGUUGUUGGCCGUCUUCCUGUCAUAUCGAACCUUCUGCCCUCUGACGUACGGCAGCCCAGAGCUCUCAGCAACUCAGCUGCAAGGACUCAAGUGGAGAGACACCUGGGACAUCCUGUACCGCCGACGCUAGAGACGGGUGGACAUACAGGUUUCUCUGUGGGAAAGGGUGUGUUUGUUUUUUCUCAUCAUGUUGACUUGAGCUGAACCUGUUCUGAGGAGAAGCACCUGGUCAGGUGUGUCAUAUUGGAGGCGGAGCUUCAACCCUCUGGACUCACUGUGAAGCCCUGCCCCCUGAUGAUGUCACAAUGAUAAUUGACAUGUGUUGAAUAAAAACUUCUGACUUUAUUAUAUUACAUUACAUAUCAUUGAGCUGAUGCUUUUAUCCAGAGCGACUCACAAUAAGUGCAUCAACCAUGAGGAACAAACCAGAACAACAAGAAUCAAGAAAGUACAAUUUAUUCAAGAAAGCCAAACUACAAAGUGCUACAUGUGUGGUCUGAAGAGAUGUGUCUUCAGUCUGCAGUGGGAGAUGUGUAGACUUUCUGUCCUGAUGUCAUUAGGGAGCUCGUUCCACGUUCAGGAGCCAGGACAACAAACAGUCGUGAUGUUGACUGACCUCCUCCACCACGCUCUGCUCAGUCCUCAGACAGCUGACUCAUUAUGAUCUUUUUCUUCCAGAAAUAGAUAAAUAAACUGUAGCUACGACCUACUAAAUAAGGUCUAGCACAAGCCUGAUGCUAUUAGAUAUUUGUCUAUGGCUCAUAAAGCCAACUUGGGUUUCAACAAUAAUUUGGUCUAAAACUGCUUUUAUUGUCUUCGUGAACAUUUGGGCUAGAAUUUUGUAAUCAGUAUUAAGAAGGAAAAUAGGCAAACGGUCAGUAAUUAAGGCAAAGUGGGUGUUUUUGAGGCUUUGGAAUAAGGGUUGUAAUGGAAAUUUAGCAUCUGUGCAUGGGAUGAUUGCGUGGUCACUCUCCUUGUGGUGGAAGAGUGACCGGAUUGUUUAUUGAAGAGGGUUAACUUAGGGUUUACGAUUAUUACUCAGGGACUUUAAAUGUAUGGCCUCUUGAAGCCUGAAACGUUAUGGUGUCUCUGAGCAAAUGGUUUUGGGAUUUCACUCCAGGGGUUUUGUUUGUAAAUGAAGCCAGGAUGUCCCCCACCCUAAUAAAACACCAAAGAAGGUAAUGGAUACCUUCUUUUCCCUUGUGGGAGGGGCCUGUGAGUUGUAAGUAUACCGAUUUCUCCUCUGUUCUUCACUCAUUGUGCUGGUCAUUCAGGUGAUGUGUAUUUUGAGUCCAUCUGCAGAUGUAGAAUUAAACUUACCGAAAGACAA
Molecule: RNA transcript, 3703 nt
Organism: Hippoglossus stenolepis (Pacific halibut)
Lineage: Eukaryota; Metazoa; Chordata; Actinopteri; Pleuronectiformes; Pleuronectidae
Gene: pomt1
Gene name: protein-O-mannosyltransferase 1
Exons: 21
Source: RefSeq, a predicted model, not a curated record